RNAcentral lists this ribosomal RNA (458 nucleotides) under uncultured bacterium. RNAcentral's name for it is "bacterial SSU rRNA". It matches the Rfam family "Bacterial small subunit ribosomal RNA", at positions 339 to 794 of the family's 1533-position model. The record is from RNAcentral.
CUACGGGAGGCAGCAGUAAGGAAUAUUGGACAAUGGGCGCAAGCCUGAUCCAGCCAUGCCGCGUGCAGGACUAAGGCCCUAUGGGUUGUAAACUGCUUUUGGACAGAAAAAAAUCUCUCGACGUGUCGAGAGUUGAUGGUACUGUCAGAAUAAGGAUCGGCUAACUCCGUGCCAGCAGCCGCGGUAAUACGGAGGAUCCAAGCGUUAUCCGGAUUUAUUGGGUUUAAAGGGUGCGUAGGCGGAUUAGUAAGUCAGUGGUGAAAGCCUGCAGCUUAACUGUAGAAUUGCCAUUGAUACUGCUAGUCUUGAAUAUAGUUGAGGUGGGCGGAAUAUGACAUGUAGCGGUGAAAUGCUUAGAUAUGUCAUAGAACACCAAUUGCGAAGGCAGCUCGCUAAGCUAUUAUUGACGCUGAGGCACGAAAGCGUGGGGAGCAAACAGGAUUAGAUACCCCGGUAGU